RNAcentral lists this ribosomal RNA (253 nucleotides) under uncultured bacterium. RNAcentral describes it as "partial 16S ribosomal RNA". It matches the Rfam family "Bacterial small subunit ribosomal RNA", at positions 524 to 776 of the family's 1533-position model. The record is from RNAcentral.
UACGUAGGGUCCGAGCGUUGUCCGGAAUUACUGGGCGUAAAGCGCGCGCAGGCGGCCCGCGAGGUGUCACGUGAAAGCCCCGGGCUCAACCCGGGAGGGUCGUGGCAAACCGGCGGGCUUGAGGCCGGUAGAGGUGGGUGGAACUCCUGGUGGAGUGGUGAAAUGCGUAGAGAUCAGGAAGAACACCCGUGGCGAAGGCGGCCCACUGGGCCGGUACUGACGCUGAGGUGCGAAAGCGUGGGGAGCAAACAGG